GACGAACGCUGGCGGCGUGCUUAACACAUGCAAGUCGAACGGUGAAGCGCUUGCCUUUUUGGUGGGUGUGGAUGAGUGGCGAACGGGUGAGUAACACGUGAGUAACCUGCCCUCUUCUUCUGGAUAACCUCAUGAAAGUGGGGCUAAUACGGGGUAUUCCGGGUCUGUCGCAUGGCGGGUUUGGGAAAGAUUGCGCCUUUGGGUGUUUUCGGUGGGGGAUGGGCUCGCGGCCUAUCAGCUUGUUGGUGGGGUGAUGGCCUACCAAGGCGGUGACGGGUAGCCGGCCUGAGAGGGUGGACGGCCACACUGGGACUGAGACACGGCCCAGACUCAUGCGGGAGGCAGCAGUGGGGAAUAUUGCACAAUGGGCGCAAGCCUGAUGCAGCGACGCCGCGUGAGGGAUGGAGGCCUUCGGGUUGUGAACCUCUUUCGCCAGUGAAGCAGGCCUGCUCCUGUGUGGGUGGGUUGACGGUAGCUGGAUAAGAAGCGCCGGCUAACUACGUG
Molecule: ribosomal RNA, 504 nt
Filed under: uncultured bacterium
Lineage: Bacteria
Description: partial 16S ribosomal RNA
Rfam family: Bacterial small subunit ribosomal RNA
Source: RNAcentral